RNAcentral lists this ribosomal RNA (310 nucleotides) under uncultured Massilia sp. Its description in RNAcentral is "bacterial SSU rRNA". It matches the Rfam family "Bacterial small subunit ribosomal RNA", at positions 131 to 441 of the family's 1533-position model. The record is from RNAcentral. Lineage: Bacteria; Pseudomonadati; Pseudomonadota; Betaproteobacteria; Burkholderiales; Oxalobacteraceae.
CUGGAGUGGGGGAUAACGUAGCGAAAGUUACGCUAAUACCGCAUACAAUCUAGGGAUGAAAGUGGGGGAUUCGCAAGAACCUCAUGCUCCUGGAGCGGCCGAUAUCUGAUUAGCUAGUUGGUGGGGUAAAGGCCUACCAAGGCAUCGAUCAGUAGCUGGUCUGAGAGGACGACCAGCCACACUGGAACUGAGACACGGGCCAGACUCCUACGGGAGGCAGCAGUGGGGAAUUUUGGACAAUGGGCGAAAGCCUGAUCCAGCAAUGCCGCGUGAGUGAAGAAGGCCUUCGGGUUGUAAAGCUCUUUUGUCA